UUGGCUCUGAGUAAUUUUAUUAAUUGUUGUCGCUCUGAGUCAGAUAAUUGUGAUCCAAUUCAGAUCGUUUUCUUGGGCUCCUCUUCUUUAAUCAUGAUAGAAAUCAGUUGUUCAGCAAGUUCACCCCUCUCCUGAUUCUUUUUUUGGUCUAAUUUAUCAACAGACAGAGAGUCUUCAGGUUUAUUAUUCUAGAUGGAGACAAGGAAGCAAGUCGGAUAAGUUGUUGAUCUCC
RNAcentral lists this long non-coding RNA (232 nucleotides) under Elaeis guineensis (African oil palm). Its description in RNAcentral is "long non-coding RNA (EGUI_LNC005318)". Lineage: Eukaryota; Viridiplantae; Streptophyta; Magnoliopsida; Arecales; Arecaceae. The record is from RNAcentral.